Long non-coding RNA from Manis javanica (Malayan pangolin), 4655 nucleotides. RefSeq lists it as uncharacterized. NCBI's taxonomy places the organism in Eukaryota, Metazoa, Chordata, Mammalia, Pholidota, Manidae. The record is from RefSeq and is a predicted model, not a curated record.
UAGAAACCUGGUCAUAAAAAAAGAAAAAGAAUGGCGUCCAUUUACAUAAUGCUUUGUUUGCAUUUUGCAAGUUUGGGUUGAACCCGCAGAAACCCCUCCUUCCUGUCCUAGUGUCAUCGUAGUCGCAGCCUUCCCGUCAGGCAUUUAAGACAAUGGCGUGUUUCUUUGGGGGGGGCCUCACUUAUUCAGGGGUGCCCGGGAGUGUUUUGGGGAGUUUCUGCGGUUUUCCCCGUUACUGUUCACUUUCCGGCUGCAGCCUUUCGCCCUCUUCCUUGCUUGGUGCAGCCGCCGCACCCCCGCUCUUUCCGGGGGCGGCUCCCUAACGGGGUCCCGCCAUCUUGGAAGGCCUUUUCUGCCGGAUGUCGCUGGCGCAUGUUUCUCUCGCUGGGGAAAGAUCGCUCGAGACGCUAGUGUGUCUUGUUGUGGUUUCUGCCCAUUCCCCUUUCGGUUCAGGCAGAAAAGGCCGUGUGCGCAACCUGCUUCAGGAUCCCUCAGGGAAAGCGGCUAACGUGGCGGUCCCCCUGUACCCGCCCCCUCUCCUUCUCUGCGGGGGUGGCCGCCAUGUUUCCUAAACACAAAAUGGCGGCCCGUGGCCAGGAUACACCGCCAACGAAAAAUUGGGGUUGCCGUGAAAGCCCUAGAACGCUCCCUUUUCCGGCCCCCUCAUCGUGCUGGCGGGUCGGGGCCUUCCCCUCAAAGCGAGUGCGCUGACCACUCCGGGACAAGACCCCGCGGGCUGUCCCAAACCUCGGGGCAAAUUUUAAUACAUUUCCCCCCACCGAUUCGAAACGGGAACGCGAAUGACUGUAAAACAUGAAUUGACUUAGGCCCAAAGAGAUGAAGUGAAUAAUUCAAGGUCACACAGUGUCCAGGAUGGAAUCCAGACCUUCUGAUUUCCUUAUUGACCUGCACUGUCCUGUGGAUACUUGAGUGAAUUCCACACCACCCAUUUUACAGAUGAAGCCACUGAGACAUGGAGCUACUGACAAAAAUAAGUCACCGCCCCACCCCGUGGGGGCUCACAUAUGACUCUUCUCCCACUUGAGUGACCACAGCUUUAUUUACCAUCUACAAAUGGAUGCCGUUCAAAUCUCUCUCCAGACUGCUUAUGUAAACAACUCCACUGGGAUGGUUUGUGGACUUGGCAAAAUGCAGCCUCCUGCUCUUCCCACUUGCUCCUGAUCCAGUGUCCUGUCACAAACAGUACCACCACCUACGUAGUAGCCAGGCACAAGCCGAGUAGUCACUGUGAGAAGUGCAAUCUGUCCUACGUAUUUGAGAGCAAAUUUAUCUGGACCCUGUCUACCACAUUACUCAAAAUUUCACCCAAGACUGAAAAUCUUCCAUUCAAACUAGCAUGUCUGGUCACCUUGGACAACUUUCUUGGAUAAAUUCCAAGAAAUGGAGUGAUUGAGUUGAAGGAUAUGCACACUUAAAACGCUGAUUUUUGGAGCCAAACUACUCUUAAGAAUGUUGACUUCUACCAACACCAAAUAAGACUGCAUAUUUCUCCACAUCAUCAGUAAUGCUGGGUUGUGUGUUUUUAUUUUCCCCGUCUGAUAGGUGAAAAGUGUUCUUGCCAUUAUAACAUGGCAGUUGAGACUGUGACUCUGGGACCGGCCUGUUGGGGCCUGAAUUCCAAUUCAGCCAUUUACCUUGUAACCUUGAGUAAGUCAUUUAAGUACUGUCCCUCAGUAAAGUAGGAAUAGUGAUAACACCGAUUUCAUGAGGCAUAGAUCAAUUAAUCCAAGUAAAAUGCUUUGAGUAGUAACUAGACAUGGCAGUCAAUAAGUAUGAUUUAUUUUACAUUUCUUCAAAUAUUAAAGAUUGAACAUCUUCUCAAAUGUAUUUUCAACAUUUAUAUUGUUGCUUUGAAUCACUUAUGUCCUUUGGACAUUUUCCCUGUAAUAUUUUCUUAAUAAUUUGUAAGAGCUUAAGUGUUGUUGACUUUUAUGAUGCAGAAUUGUUGUUCCCAGUUUGUCAUUUAUCUUUCAACUGUUAAUGCAAUUUUUUUGCCUAGAAAACAUUUUUAGACAGAGUAAUCUUUUCUCUUAGUUUUUUCUGCUCAAUGUUUAGAAAAGGCAUACUUCCCUCUCUCAAAAGUAUAAAAAUAGUUACUCAUUCUCUUUGAGUACUGUGUAUGUAUAUUUUUAAAUCUUUAAAUUUUAAUAUUUAAGUCUUUAAUCCAUCUGGAAUUUGUUUUUAUAUGAAGAUAGCAGUUGAGAUCUGGCUCUAAUUUCUUUUCAGUUGGAUGGUAUCUCAAACCCAUUUUUUGAGAAAGAAGAAAUGGGAGCAGCAGCUUUUAAUCUAUUCUUCCUUCCCCUAAAUUAGAAGUAGAAUAUCCUAGAGAUGGCAGAUCUCCAUUUCAGAGAAUGAAUUUAAUGUUUGGAGUCAGUCAGUAGUCAUUCAGUUGCUAAGCUGUGGGAUGAAUAUGCUAUGUAAAGCACUUUGGGAUCAGAACUACAGCUCAGAUCUGAGUGCUAAUACUGCUGAACACACUGGUGCAGCUUCUCUGCUGGCUCUAGCAGUUCCUCCUAAGUGGAUCCUAAUUUGGGGAUAGCUUUGAAGGGGUCAUUCUUAGUUUGGAAUGAUAAGCUUUGUUUCUGUUUCAAGAAACAAAGGAAGUGACUAUAGCAGGUAUUUCCUCACUCCAGCUUGGGGGUAUUGAUCAGGUAUUGAUAGGAGAUAUUGAAUGGUAAUAAACCCAUUGUGUUCUAGCUCUGCCCUCAUCAGCCCUUAUUGGAAGUCAAGUCCCAUCUAGUCUUUUGCUUCUGACUCAAAAUGGAGGGAGGAUGAUUCCUAAUAACAGGGCAUUCACGUAUCCCAUGGUAGCUACUGUCUGCCAGAGAUGAUAAAGAAGGGUAGCUAACUCUUCCAUGGGCCUAUAUUAUGUGCCAGGAACUCUUCUAAGCACCUUACACAUAUAUAAACUCUUCAUCAGGUAGGUGCUCUGUACUGGAUUGAAUAGUAUCUCCCCUAGAACUUAUGUCCAUAGUUGUUAUUUGGACAUAGUCUUUAUAGAUGUAAUCAAGAUUAAAUCAUAUUGGAUUAGGGUGGGCCUUAAUCCAACGACUGGUGUUCGUUUGAAGAAAGGGAGACACACACAUGCAGGGAGGGCAGCCAUGUGAAGAUGGAAGCAGAGAUUGGAGAAAUGCUGCUACAAACCAAGGAAUGACAGGCAUUACUGGCAACCACCAGAAGCUGCAAGAGGCAAGAAAUGAUUCUUCCCUAGAGCCUUCAGAGGGAACAUGGCCCUGCUAACAUCUUGACUUUGGACUCUAAGAGAAUAAAUUUAUGUUGUUUAAAGCCACCCAGUUUGUAGUAUUUGUUUCGGCAGCCCUGGGAAACCCAUACAUACUCUCUUUAUCAUCUCCAUUUUCAGAUAAGGAAACUGAGGCCCAGAGAGGUCAAAUAUUUGAUGAUCUCUCUAGGUCACUGCUCUGCUGGCUGGGCACUUACUCUGAAGAUCCUCCUGUUGGCUGUUGUCCUUCCCCACCUUCACUAAGGCCAUCUGCUUUGUGGUGGUGCUGGGGCUGAGCUGCUGGAUGGUCCCUUUCCCAACACAGCAGGCCACAGCUUUUCACCAUUCUUGCCUACCGCACACCCUGAAGUGAAACUCCUCUCAGAAGACUUCUGGCUGUAGCCUGAUCAUUUCAGCAGAUCUCCUCCUAGUCCCACCCCUCCAGCAUCCCAGAAGAGGUUUCCUUCCUCUGCGUCCCAUUACUGGCUGUGGAAUCUUGUCUAUUUUCCAAAACAGGCUUUUUGCUUUGGCUCCUGCUCUUUUUCUCAACUGUUCUCACUAGACUGUGGGCCCUAUGAACUCAAACCAUACCUGUUUUGUUUGCUGCUGUAUCCCAGGACCAAGCCAAGACAUGGCACUUAAUAGCUCUUCAAGAUAUGUUUAUUGAAUGAAGAAAUGAAUAUUGACCUUGAAGCUUUGUAAACCUGAUUUUCCUUGCUUCUUGCUGAAGGAAAAGACCAGAUUAAGAACUUCAGAGUUCCUAAGCAAUAAAAAGAUUAUGAUGUCCCUCAUACUUUCAGCUCUCAGUAUGUAGUUCAAAAACAGUAUUAAACAUAAAGUAUAAGGAAAUCCAGCAAAAUUCUGCUUUUUUUCCAUGGUGACACUUGGAUACAUAUAAUUUAAAACAUUUGUUACUGUCUCUGCUUGGCCAUUUCCGUAAGCAUAUGCUAUGGGAUAAUCCUGCCUGGACCAGCCCCUCCCUCACCUUGGACUUCACCUUCAUUUCUUCUUUACUCCACCUGUUGAAGCUGCCAGCCAGCCCCUUUCACCUAACAGGAGUGCCUGGCUCCUGAGACUCAACCUGGGUUAGUGCCCCAGGCUCCUUGGGACUUGCCAAGAAAGUCAAGUAGAACAUGCAUACUCCUAGAGAAUUCCUCAGAAUGAGAAUCCCUAUGCUGAAUAGUGAUUUGUAGUCAGCAUAGCACAUUGUGCCAAGUGAUUACACUUAGGCUGUUGUUAACCAUGUCUGCUUCUGUGAUCCUGUAUGUUGUAAAGCUCAGACAUUUGCCUGUGGCCCUCCUUUCUGGAUCACUAAGAAGUCAAGAUGUAAGCCUACUUCUGCCUCCUGUAAAUCGGGGCCUUGUUAAGAUCCUUUGGAAAAAUGAGAAGUCGAAAGGCAGGAAAGGACAUUAAA